Molecule: ribosomal RNA, 229 nt
Filed under: uncultured bacterium
Lineage: Bacteria
Description: partial 16S ribosomal RNA
Rfam family: Bacterial small subunit ribosomal RNA
Source: RNAcentral
UACGUAGGCGGAUUAGUAAGUUAGGGGUGAAAUCCCGGGGCUCAACCCCGGAACUGCCUCUGAUACUGCUAGUCUUGAGUUCGAGAGAGGUGAGUGGAAUUCCGAGUGUAGAGGUGAAAUUCGUAGAUAUUCGGAGGAACACCAGUGGCGAAGGCGGCUCACUGGCUCGAUACUGACGCUGAGGUACGAAAGUGUGGGGAGCAAACAGGAUUAGAUACCCUGGUAGUCC